Molecule: non-coding RNA, 43 nt
Organism: Schistosoma curassoni
Lineage: Eukaryota; Metazoa; Platyhelminthes; Trematoda; Strigeidida; Schistosomatidae
Source: Rfam
GCACUGCCGAGUCCCACAAUAGGACGAAACGGCCGUCCAGUGC